AAACUCAAAUGAAUUGACGGGACCCGCACAAGCAGCGGAGCGUGUGGUUUAAUUCGUUGCUACACGAAGAACCUUACCUGGGUUUGACAUAUAGGUUGUAGGGAACUGAAAGGGACCGACCUUCGGGAGCCUAUACAGGUGUUGCAUGGCUGUCGUCAGCUCGUGUCGUGAGAUGUUCGGUUAAGUCCGCUAACGAGCGCAACCCUCGUCGUAUGUUAUAUGUGUCAUACGAGACUGCCGGUAAAAGCCGGAGGAAGGUGAGGAUGAUGUCAAGUCAGCAUGACCUUUAUAUCCAGGGCUACACACACGCUACAAUGGUCUGUACAAUGGGUAGCCAAGCCGCGAGGCGGAGCCAAUCCUGAAAGCAGGCCUCAGUUCAGAUUGCAGUCUGCAACUCGACUGCAUGAAGCCGGAGUUGCUAGUAACCGCAGGUCAGCAAUACUGCGGUGAAUACGUUCCCGGGUCUU
This 467-nucleotide ribosomal RNA is filed under the name uncultured Anaerolineaceae bacterium. Its description in RNAcentral is "bacterial SSU rRNA". It matches the Rfam family "Bacterial small subunit ribosomal RNA", at positions 897 to 1382 of the family's 1533-position model. Lineage: Bacteria; Bacillati; Chloroflexota; Anaerolineae; Anaerolineales; Anaerolineaceae. The record is from RNAcentral.